UCUCAACCCAUGUGAACAUACUAUACGUGUGCCUCGGCAGGGUACAUCUGCUCUAUUAGAGUGAUGUGCAACCAGCCUGCCGGCGGUCCAUUAACUCUGUUUCUUUUUGAAUUCUGAGGUUAUAUAAAAUAAGUUAAAACUUUCAACAACGGAUCUCUUGGUUCUGGCAUCGAUGAAGAACGCAGCGAAAUGCGAUAAGUAAUGUGAAUUGCAGAAUUUAGUGAAUCAUCGAAUCUUUGAACGCACAUUGCGCCCAUUAGUAUUCUAGUGGGCAUGCCUGUUCGAGCGUCAUUUCAACCCUUAAGCCUUUGUUGCUUAGCGUUGGGAGCCUACGGUAGCGUAACUCCUCAAAAUCACUGGCGGAGUCGGUUCACACUCUAGACGUAGUACAUUUUAUCUCGUCUGUGAGUUGGGCCGGUCCCCUGCCGUAAAACCCCUAAUUUCUAAAGGUUGACCUCGGAUCAGGUAGGAAUACCCGCUGAAACUUAAGCAUAUCAAAGGGGGAGGAAAAACCUUAAAGGUGUGAUAACUCCCAAACGAUGUGAACAUACUAUACGUUGCCUCGGCAGGCUACAUCUGCUCUAUUAGAGUGAUGUGCAACCGCCUGCCGGCGGUCAUUAACUCUGUUUCUUUUUGAAUUCUGAGGUUAUAUAAAAUAAGAUAAAACUUUCACAACGGAUCUCUUGGUUCUGGCAUCGAUGAAGAACGCAGCGAAAUGCGAUAAGUAAUGUGAAUUGCAGAAUUUGUG
Molecule: ribosomal RNA, 748 nt
Filed under: Xylaria schweinitzii
Lineage: Eukaryota; Fungi; Ascomycota; Sordariomycetes; Xylariales; Xylariaceae
Description: eukaryotic LSU rRNA
Rfam family: 5.8S ribosomal RNA (bases 138-291)
Source: RNAcentral